This is an RNA transcript of Ostrea edulis (European flat oyster), 4530 nucleotides long. It is a transcript of the gene named C-type lectin domain family 4 member K-like, with no coding region annotated. The transcript has 6 exons. Lineage: Eukaryota; Metazoa; Mollusca; Bivalvia; Ostreida; Ostreidae. The record is from RefSeq and is a predicted model, not a curated record.
UUGUAAAUCGCGUGACUAAGUAAGAGUAUAUGAAACAGGUGGCUAUAAUAAUGUGACAUACGUUAAAGCGUAGCACGUAUCCUAUAUAUACGUACACACAGGAAUUGAAGAAAGCAAACACACAUAAGAGAUACGUACGUUAGGAUGUACAAAAUGCGCAUUGAGUUAUUCAUUUGUGCAGUGAUUUUUUUUACAGGAACUUCCACUCGCGCAGCCUUGGAUGGAAACAAAACGUUACUCAAGAAGUUGUCAAUUCUACAUUAUCAGCUUUUCAACUCGAUUCAGAAAGGCAUGACUAUGUUAACGUCAGCGCACUUUGAAACCUCUUGCACAAAAAUGGGAUGCUCAAUUACCAAAUACCAAUCCACUAGAAGACCAGGUCCAGUGAUACCCAAGCCAAAGGGAUGCAGAAAGGGUUGGAAAGAAUACAACGGACAUUGCUAUAAACAACCAAGUAUUCCUCUCAACUGGUUUAAUGCACAGAUGUACUGCAGAAAACAUGGUGCUCAUUUAGCGAAAGUGGAUGAUGAAAGUGAAAAUUAUUGGAUCAGUCGUGCAUUUCCACUCAGUAAGUAACAUAAAUGUUAUGAACAUUAUCAUGGGCCUCAGGCUUGACCAUAUACAUCAUAAUGAUUAUUUUGCCUCAGUUGAGCAUUUCUGAUCAAAGUUUGUCUGUCAUCUCUGUCUUCUGUAAAAUAGAUUUACAUUUUGAACUUCUCAAAGACCAGUGAACCAAGUUUAACCAAACUUACCAAGAACCAUCAUUGGGUAAUGGGAAUUCAAGUGCUCUAAAGUGUAUAGGGAUGUUGGUUGCUUUACAUGAACGAACACUGAUUUUUGCCUAUAUAUGACGCUUGCUUUCAUAGCAGUGAUGAUGUUUAGCUCACCUGAGCGAAAGCCUCAAGUGAGCUUUUCUGAUCAAAAUUUGUUCGUUUUCUGUCGGCGGCGUCGUCGUAAACUUUUCACAUUUUCAUCUUCUGAAGAACCAUUGGGCCAAUUUCAACCAAACUUGCCACAAAGCAUCCUUGGGUGAAGGGCUUUCAAGUUUAUUCAAAUGAAGGGCCGUGUCCCUUUCAAAGGGGCGAUAAUCACAAAAAUGCAAAAAUAGGGUGGGGGUCAUUUAAAAAUCUUCUCCUCAAGAACCACUGGGCCAAAAAUGCUGAAAAUUUCAUGAAAGCUUCCUGACAUAAUGUAGAUUUAAGUUUGUUCAAAUCAUGGCCCCCGGGGGUUGGAUAGAGCCACAAUAGGGGAUCAAAGUUUUACAUACAAAUACAUAGGAUAAAUCUUUAAAAAUCUUCUCCAGACCCAGAAAAGCUGAGAUUUAGAUGAAAGCUUCCAGACAUAAUGCAGAUUCAAGUUUGUUCAAAUCAUGGCCCCCGGGGUUGGAUGGGGCCACAAUAGGGGAUCAAAGUUUUACAUGCAAAUAUAUAGGAUAAAUCUUUAAAAAUCUUCUCAAGAACCACUGGGCCAGAAAAGCUGAAAAUUACAGGAAAGCUUCCUGAUAUAGUGCGGAUUCAGGUUUGUUCAAAUCGUGACUCCCGGGGUUGGAUGGGGCCACAAUAGGGGAUCAAAGUUUUACAUACAAAUAUAUAAGGAAAAUCUUUAAAAAUCUUCCCAAGAACCACUGAGCCAGAAAAGCUUAUAUUUACAUGAAAGCUUUCUGACAGAUUUCAGUUUGUUUAAAUCAUGGCCCCCAGGGGAGGAUAGGGUCACAAGGGAGAUCAAAGUUUUGCAUACAAAUAUAUAUGGAAAAUCUUUAAAUAUGAGCCAAGUGAUUCAGGUGAGCGAUGUGGCCUUUGGGCCUCUUGUUUUUAUCGUGCUUUUACAUACCAUGACAGGAAAUCUUCGUUUUUAAGGUCAUAUUAGAAAGGCUUGUGACUUUCACUUCUACUGCCAGACGCUUGUUGAAAAAAGUCACUACUUGUGUUAAUGCGUCUUAGGUUUGACGUAGUGUUGAGAUUGAUAGUUGAACAUCCCCCCCCCCUUCCGCUCGUUGCGACGGGAGUGCCAUCGCCACUAUGAAACCGCGAUCUGGUGGAUGGGGUGGGUUUUUUUAAAUCCUCCGCUUAAGAACACUUAUAGAUUAACCAGACAGGAUAAAACUGUAAUUUAAGUUUGUUCAAACUUUGUGCCCUAGGAGCAUUUGGUGUCGCGAUAGAGGUUUCAAAGUUUAACAUAAAUAUCUCAAGAGCCACAAGAGCUUACAGGAUUGAUACACGUAGCUAUGUCCCCACCACUGAAAAAAAAAGCACAAAAGUCCCAUAACUCCAGUAAAAUUUGUCGAAUCAAAAUGACGGCGCAAUAUGAUCAACUAUAUAUAUAUGGUGACUAACAAUCCUACAAAAUCCGUUGAGCGGUUUCAGAGGAAUUGCGUCCACAAAGUGUUCCUAUAGUGUAGCAUGUACAAAUUCAACAAAGCCCCAUAACUCCUGUAAAAUUAUCGAAUCAAAAUGGCGGCGUAAUAUGAUCAACUACAGAUGGUGACUAACAACCCUACUCAAUAUGAACAAAAUCCGUUCAGCGGUUUCUGAGGAGUUGCGUCCACAAAGUGAAGUAGGACGGACACCGAUAUUUAUAUGUCCCCAACUUAACUUCUACAAAAACACCUGAAGAAACAAGUACAUACUGCUUUCAGAUCAUAAUACUUGCGCCAUUCGGUUGAUGCUAAACAGGGACAUUUAAAUUCUAAGUUUAGAACGUAUACUCUAAGUUCAAAUGAUUUUUUCAAAUAGAAUUAUUUGUCAAUUAUUAAAUAUUAUGGUUACAGAAGAACUUAAUAUAAUUUGAGUGAAUCUGAAGCAAUACACCCGUCAAAUCAGCAGACAAUAUCGAUCCAUGAAUCAUUGUCAUCCUGUCAGUAAUUCCUGCUUGUAAUCUCCGAUGUGCAUUGAUCUCGGAGGUCACCAGUUCGGAAAACGAAAGAGAGGCACUGAGCACUGUUGUAAACAAUUUAGCAAUGGCGGUUAAUACGAAACACUCAUUGCUUUCAAACAACAUCCCCUUAUUUAGUUUGCUGAAUUUUUCUUCAGAUUUUGGAGAUUAUAUUAGUUAUACUGAUCGGAGUUAAUUGAUGCAUAUUUGGUUAGUUGGAAAAAAGCCGUCAGUUACAUUUUGUAUUGCUUUAAAUUUAAUCAAAUGAAGGACCAUGCUACCUUCAAAUGGGAUGUGAUCAAGAAAAGACAAAAUAAUAGGGUGGGGUCAUUUAAACAUCUUCUCAAGAACAACUAUAUAGGCCAGAAAAAGUUUGAAUUCAUAUGUAAUCUUUCUGACUUUCAAGAUUCAAUUGGUUGAAAUCAUGGCCUCCGGGGGUAGCACAAUAGUAAAUCAAAGUUUUCAUGCUAUCUAGAUCUAUUGUAAAACUCUUUGAAUAUUUUCUUCUUAAGAACAGCACGGCCAUGAUUAGUCAUAUUGAUAUGCAAGAAUCUCCAAGAAGUGCAGAUUCAAGUUUGUUUAAAUCAUGACUCUCGGGGUAGGGUGGGGCUACAAUAGGGAAUUGAAGUUUUUCCGACAUAUUUGAAAAAAAAAUCUUUAGAAAGCUUCUGAUGAAGUACAAUAGGGUCAUGAUUAGUCAUAUUGAUAUGAAAAGGUAGUGCAGAUAAAAUUUACAAAUUAUGGCCCCUGGGGAUAGGGUAGGGCAACAAAAUGGGAUCACAAGUGUACUCGCAGAUAUAUGGGAAAUUCAUUAAUAAUCUUCUCAAGAAAAAGGACAUGAUUUAUUAGUGAUAUCAAUAUACAAGCAUCCCCAUGUAGUUCAGUAUCAAUAUUGUACAAAUUGUGACCCCAUGUAAUAGGAUGGGGUCACAAUAUGGGAUCAAAGUUUUACAUUUGAAUAUAGAGAAACAUAUUUUAAAAUCCUCAUCACAAAAAUAAAAGACUAGAAAUAGUCAUUUUAAGGAUGUACUCUAGUGGUAAUUUUACCGCGAGUGAGUCUCCAUACUUUUAUAAGUCGUAAAUAUGGGAAUGUGUGUUUUAUUUUGUUUGCCCAUAGUAGCACAUUGAUAUACAUGUAUGUUUUUGUUUAUCAUUAUUGUAAUUAAACUAACAAGAUUUAAUUUAACACUACAAUUAUUUUUACUUUUGCUUUCAUUUUAUGACAUUCAUGAUGGCGUUGCGAUUGUAAACAAACGCGAGCUCGAAGAUUCGCGCACUGGACAAUGUCACAUCUAGUUUAUUCUAAAGCAGUCCAGAAACAUACAAAGGCGAUUCGUUAGAAGUAAUAUGGCAGUUGUAUGACAGGCUGCAUCUGAUAUUCUCACAAAAAAAUGGUAUACAGAUUUUACAGACCUCGGCAAGGAAGGGGUAUGGAAAUCAUUCACUUUUGGCGAUGAAGCAGUGUACACAAACUGGAUUAAAGGCAACCCCAGUAAUUCUAACUCCCGUGAACACUGCGUGGAAAUAAACUGUGAAUACCUAGGUCUCUGGAAUGAUGUUCCAUGUGAAGCCGUUCUCAAAUUCGUUUGCGAAUCUUAUGGGUACAUGGAAUGAACUAUGUCUUCAGUUCUACUGCUAGAAUAAAAUGAACCACAGCAA